This 300-nucleotide ribosomal RNA is filed under the name uncultured Archaeoglobus sp. Its description in RNAcentral is "bacterial SSU rRNA". It matches the Rfam family "Bacterial small subunit ribosomal RNA", at positions 496 to 795 of the family's 1533-position model. The record is from RNAcentral. Lineage: Archaea; Methanobacteriati; Methanobacteriota; Archaeoglobi; Archaeoglobales; Archaeoglobaceae.
UGUGACGCUGUGCCAGCAGCCGCGGGAAGACCGAGGGUGCAAGGUUUGUUCGGAAUUACUGGUCUUAAAUGGCGCGUAGGCGGCCCGCUAAGUCGAACGUGAAAUCCCCGAGCUCAACUCGGGAACUGCGUCCGAUACUGGCGGGCUUGAAUCCGGGAGAGGGAUGCGGAAUUCCAGGUGUAGCGGUGAAAUGCGUAGAUAUCUGGAGGAACACCGGUGGCGAAGGCGGCAUCCUGGACCGGCAUUGACGCUGAGGCGCGAAAGCUAGGGGAGCAAACGGGAUUAGAUACCCCUGUAGUC